Molecule: ribosomal RNA, 198 nt
Filed under: uncultured bacterium
Lineage: Bacteria
Description: partial 16S ribosomal RNA
Rfam family: Bacterial small subunit ribosomal RNA
Source: RNAcentral
ACGCUCGACACCUACGGGAGGCAGCAGUGAGGGAUAUUGGUCAAUGGGGGAAACCCUGAACCAGCAACGCCGCGUGAGGGAUGACGGUCUUCGGAUUGUAAACCUCUGUCCUCUGUGAAGAUAAUGACGGUAGCAGAGGAGGAAGCUCCGGCUAACUACGUGCCAACAGCCGCGGUAAUCUGAGCGGGCUGGCAAGGC